GAUGAACGCUGGCGGCGUGCCUAAUACAUGCAAGUCGAGCGAACGGACGAUAAUCUUGCUUCUCUGAUGUUAGCGGCGGACGGGUGAGUAACACGUGUAUAACCUACCUAUAAGACUGGGAUAACUUCGGGAAACCGUAGCUAAUACCGUAUAAUAUUUUGAACCGCAUUGUUCAAAAGUGAAAGACGGUCUUGCUGUCACUUAUAGAUGGAUCCGCGCUGCAUUAGCUAGUUGGUAAGUUAACGGCUUACCAAGGCAACGAUGCAUAGCCGACCUGUGAGGGUGAUCGGCCACACUGGAAGUGAGACACGGUCCAGACGCCUACGGGAGGCAGCAGUAGGGAAUCUUCCGCAAUGGGCGAAAGCCUGACGGAGCAACGCCGCGUGAGUGAUGAAGGUCUUCGGAUCGUAAAACUCUGUUAUUAGGGAAGAACAUAUGUGUAAGUAACUGUGCACAUCUUGACGGUACCUAAUCAGAAAGCAACGGCUAACUACGUG
RNAcentral lists this ribosomal RNA (497 nucleotides) under uncultured bacterium. Its description in RNAcentral is "partial 16S ribosomal RNA". It matches the Rfam family "Bacterial small subunit ribosomal RNA", at positions 28 to 507 of the family's 1533-position model. The record is from RNAcentral.